GAAAUGGGGCGUAGCCAAGCGGUAAGGCAACGGGUUUUGGUCCCGCUAUUCGGAGGUUCGAAUCCUUCCGUC
This 72-nucleotide transfer RNA is filed under the name Helianthus praecox. RNAcentral's name for it is "tRNA-Gln". It matches the Rfam family "tRNA". Rfam says of the family: Transfer RNA (tRNA) molecules are approximately 80 nucleotides in length. Lineage: Eukaryota; Viridiplantae; Streptophyta; Magnoliopsida; Asterales; Asteraceae. The record is from RNAcentral.